Papio anubis (olive baboon) is the source of this 148-nucleotide unclassified non-coding RNA. It matches the Rfam family "Metazoan signal recognition particle RNA". Rfam says of the family: The signal recognition particle (SRP) is a universally conserved ribonucleoprotein. The record is from Ensembl. NCBI's taxonomy places the organism in Eukaryota, Metazoa, Chordata, Mammalia, Primates, Cercopithecidae.
GCUGGGUGUGGUGGCGCACGCCUGUAAUCCCAGUUACUCCGGAGGCUGAGGUAGGAGAAUCGCUUGAACCCAGGAGGCAGAAGUUGCAGUGAGCUGAGAUUGAGCCACUGCACUCUAGCCUGGGCUACAGAGCGAGACUCCACCUCAA